UUCCUCCAGCCCGCCGCCAUUUUCCGCCCCCGCCGGCUCGCCGCUGCGCCCCAGCGAUCGCUCGAUGGUUCCAGCCGCCAGCACCUGCAUGAGCCGGCGACGGAGACCGCGGGCGCAGCGUGCGGGGCCUGCCGCGGCGGCUAGACGAAGACCGGACUCCGACCCCGCCCGCAGCACCCGGCCGGCGGCAGCCAAGGCCUGCGAAGGGGCCGGCUCGGCCGCACUGGGCGGAGCGGCUGCGACAGAGGCCCGGACCUGAAGGUUCCAUCGCACUUACUUCCUGUUUUGGGUCCGGGCACUUUGGAAGAACCAGGAUGGAGGCUCCAAAAAAUACCAGGAUGGAGGAAGCAGCCACGGGAGAGAGUGGCUGCAGCUGGGGUGAGCGAGCGCAACCAGCCACCGGAAACGGAGCCACGGCCGCGCCCCGCCCCCGCCCUCUCAGUACCCCCCCUCUCCGGCCCGCCUCUCCCGUGGGGCGGACCUGCGCGCCACCUUGAACGUCACUUCCGUCUGCGUCGACAAGCUGAUGGGUUGCUGCGGAGUCGACCGCCAUUCUCAGCAAGCAAUACGGUCGUAUAGUCCCUGCCUAGCUGAUGCGGAUGAUAUAGAGGAGAGUCUUUUCCUUAGCAGGUGUCUGCACCGUUUAGUUUCCGGAGGAUCCGAAGGGAAGAAGAGGCCUUAAGAGUACAGAAGAAAGCAGGGUGUCUCUCUCUGCUCCUUGGUUUCUGGUCCUGUGGUAUAAUUAUUGUGAAAGGUGUCCUCCGUGAGUGUGACCUCGCUUUUAGGAGACUACAGUUCUUCAUGGAUUUAAAGUUCAAUGCUGGUGUCUACACCGAUUGCAUCUCUGUUUUCUGGACCCUGCCCCCAUGCCAAUCUUUUAAGAAUCAGAUUCCUUAAGAGUUUAUAUGAAUAAAUGCAUUUUGACUAUAUCCACUCCCAAUUCUUCCCGUGUUCUCCCUGACAUCCCCAAUCCCCACUCA
Molecule: long non-coding RNA, 980 nt
Filed under: Rattus norvegicus (Norway rat)
Lineage: Eukaryota; Metazoa; Chordata; Mammalia; Rodentia; Muridae
Description: long non-coding RNA NONRATT021168
Source: RNAcentral